CUGCAGCCAAUUAAGCUGACCAGGUGUGUGCAAUGACUGCAAACAGCAGCCUCCUUGGUUAGUGUAUGCAACCUGUUGCAUGUUUGGGUUGCCCAAAGGAACCUUGGAGACAGUU
RNAcentral lists this small nucleolar RNA (115 nucleotides) under Nannospalax galili (Upper Galilee mountains blind mole rat). RNAcentral describes it as "Small nucleolar RNA SNORA70 (ENSNGAG00000002619.1)". It matches the Rfam family "Small nucleolar RNA SNORA70". From Rfam's summary of the family: snoRNA U70 seems to be exclusive to mammals and is a member of the H/ACA class of snoRNA which contain H (ANANNA) and ACA box motifs. The record is from Rfam by way of RNAcentral. Lineage: Eukaryota; Metazoa; Chordata; Mammalia; Rodentia; Spalacidae.